RNAcentral lists this long non-coding RNA (321 nucleotides) under Hordeum vulgare. RNAcentral describes it as "long non-coding RNA (HVUL_LNC009184)". The record is from RNAcentral. Lineage: Eukaryota; Viridiplantae; Streptophyta; Magnoliopsida; Poales; Poaceae.
CUCUCCUUCUUUAUCACUUCCUAUUAAUUGCAACCAUGACCAAGGUCUACUUGUCUACCCUCAACAAGUUUCAAUCAACAUUCUUUUUAUAUGUGAAGCGAUCACUUCCCAUAAGAUCAUUACAUGAUAUUUCAUGCUUUUGUUCUUUUCUCACUCUUUUGAUCAUGGCAAGAGGCAAAGCCCUUCAACUAAGACACUCUUUAUUAUAUGGCUCACGGGCUCGAAUACAUUGGGGGUGACACAAAGCAAAACUCAAGACUAAAACACUAAGACUUUUAUUCUACUAGAGAAAAAGAAAAUUGAAAAGGAACAAAUUAAAAC